This 120-nucleotide ribosomal RNA is filed under the name uncultured bacterium. RNAcentral's name for it is "partial 16S ribosomal RNA". It matches the Rfam family "Bacterial small subunit ribosomal RNA", at positions 796 to 918 of the family's 1533-position model. The record is from RNAcentral.
CACGCCGUAAACGAUGAAUACUCGCUGUUUGCGAUAUACAGUAAGCGGCCAAGCGAAAGCAUUAAGUAUUCCACCUGGGGAGUACGCCGGCAACGGUGAAACUCAAAGGAAUUGACGGGG